Mustela lutreola (European mink) is the source of this 3215-nucleotide long non-coding RNA. RefSeq lists it as uncharacterized. The transcript is spliced from 3 exons. Lineage: Eukaryota; Metazoa; Chordata; Mammalia; Carnivora; Mustelidae. The record is from RefSeq and is a predicted model, not a curated record.
CGCACCCGCGCGCCAGACACAGCUCCCGGGGGCACCGGGCUCUGACUUCCCAAAACGGGAAGAGAGCGAGACGCCCAGAACUGGGGUCAGAGUCGCGUCUGAGAGGGGCCCGGGAAAAGACCAGGGAGAGCAAAUGACCGGAGUCGGUGCCAGCUCUGUCAUCUGCCACCGGCCACUUAAACUACCCUGCGGAGUUUCUCCAUCAACAAAGUGGGCAUGUUCUGCUCGGUGCCUACCUAGGUCGGCAAACCUGCUGGGGGCCCCUUGGCUGGCUGGGGACUGGAAGGUCACACCCCAGCUCUGACCUCCUCUGUUUGUUACACAGAUUUGCAGGUGUGACUCCUGUUCCAUGAGGCUGAGAACUUUACUAAUUUCCCCAUGUGUCCAUAUGCCUGCUAUGUGCCAGCCACUGCUCUAGGCUCUUAGGAGAAUUUCCGCACAACUUAUGGAAAAAUCCCUGGCAGGAUGGACUCUGCGUUCCGUCCUGCGGGAAAACAAGAAGCAUAAUAAAUAAACACAUUGUAGGGUGUGUGGGACAGGGAUAUGGGCAAAGAGAAAAGUGAGCCUGGGAAGGUGUUGGGGGGUGGUGUGUUGCGGGGAAAGGGGGAAGCAGUUUGGUCAGGGAAUUUGAGAAGGCAGCAUUUAAGCAAGUAAAGGAGUGAGCCAUUUGGGCCUGGUAUUCAUGCAUUUCUUCACUUGUUUGUCUGUUGGUUAAUUUCUUCAUUCAUCAAAUGAUCACCUGCUGUGUGCGGAAACAGUGCUGGCUCCUGGAGCCAAGGAGAUAGUUCCUGCCAUCAAAGAGUUAGUGGUCCGGUGUGUAAAGAGACCAUCACCACCCAGUGUGGUCAGGAUUGGUUGCAACUACAGGGGUAUGGAAACUGGUUGGAGCUGAAUCAGCAGAUAAAGGAUGGGGGUGAAGAGGUAAUCUAAGAAGGCAUCACAGAGGAGACAACAGGUAAAGGGGAUGGGCAGAAAUUUUGACAAACCCAGACAUGCUGACCUUUCUGUUCUUUAAACAGUCCAAGCUCAAACCCGCUCCAGGACCUUGACACUUCCUGGUUCCUCUGCCUGAGUUGUUCAGAUCUUAGUUUAGUGGUUCCUUUCUGACCACUCAAAUCUAAAAUACACCCCUAUUGUCUAACACAUCACCCUAUUUUAUUCCCUUCAUUACACCAGUAUACAAAUGCAAUUAUUUGUUUAUUAUAUGUCUCAUCUUGGAGGUAGUGUAUGAGCUCUGUGAGUGCAGGAACCCUGAAUGUCCUAAACACCUCUGUGUUCCUAACACCUGGAACAUACUAAGGCACCAAUUAGUAGGGACACUGAAUGCAUUCAUGCUGGUGUAUGGGGGCAUUGAGAUCAUUUUUGCCAGAAGGACCAGCAUGACAAAUAUCUUCUGUGAACGAUAUAGAGAAGAAGGGAAAAUUAGUGGAUGAUGAGUCUGCCCUGGCUUUCUGGGGGUUGAUGAGGAGAGGCAGAAGUCAGGGGAAGGAUUGGGCUAAGUUUCAGGAGAGCCUGGAGCCAUGGAUUCCCAUCCAUCAAGGUUGUCAAUUUCCUUUGACCAGCAGCACCCCCCCCCCGCCCCCGGGCUAUUUUGACAAGCCUCUAAGAGAACAGAAAUGAAAUCAUCUUUCCAUUUUUCAGGUCAGGGAACCGUGGCUCUGAGGAUUCAGGGGACCUGCGAGAGGUCCCACAGGUUGGAAAUGACAAAGUUGAAAUGACAACCCAGGUCUCCCAGCUCCCAGCUCCUGCCCCUUCCACCAAUUGGCGAGUCAAGACACUCAGAAUCUCUCUAGGGAUCAUGAUUCCCUCCUCUGCUUUAACCCCACCCAACUGGCCCCAAGUCUCCCACCUCUGAACACCGCAGGAAGCCCCAGCCUUCUCUGCCGCGCCUCCCUCCACCCCCCACCCCCGCCAUCGCAGCAUCCCCAGCCCCUCACUGCAACAACUUUCCUCUCACGUCCAGUAUCUUUCCAGCCGCGUGAUGGUCACCAGCUGCCAGAGCUCUUUCUAAAACUCCAGACUGAUCACCUCACUCCUCGGCCUCCUCUUCUGUCUCCCCCAAGAGACAACACACCGACGUGAUUUCAUUAACCCUGGAUUUAAGGUAUGAACACUGAGGCCGGGGAGCUAAGAGCCAGGCCUCCCCUCCCCACACCGGGUCAGUCUGCGAGUUCAAGUUCCAGCUGGGACAAGGGCCUUGGCUUCAAAAUGCCUGAGGCCAGAGAUCUUUUACACUAUGUCAAGCUGGCAAGAAACAUCUCCCUCCACCCAGCCCCACUGCGACAGAUAGCAACUGCGUUUCCUAGCCAAGGUAUUUUCUCACAAGAUUACAGGAGCAGAAGGCUUCCCCGUGCAGCAGCCCCUUCUCCAAGCACACACAUCAAGAGUCUGCUGGCCACGUCUUGUCUCUCCCUCGUGCUGGAGGAGGGCCUCUGGAAGGAACGACACUCAGCUGGGAGCAGCGUUCCCUGACCUUCUCUAAAGGACAAGAGCCAGGUUUGGGGGAACUGUGGGGACUCAUGGGAUGGUCUGGCCCAGGCUGCGAGGGAUGAACUCCUAAAUGAGCCAGCGGCUCCCAUCGGCAGCCCUGGUGACUUUCAGCGAGGAGGGGGAGUGCUCCUCCUCCCUCCGGGCUCUCGAGGAGAAUGCCGGGAGUUGCUCGCCCCCCUGAGAGGGAGAGAACCAGCCCACUGCGGCACCUGUGCCCAGAAAGUUCCAUAAGUGCAGAAGGACCUCCUGAGAGAAGAAGCAUGGAUGCCAGUUUGAAGUGUUGGUUUUCUGCACUUGGAUUCCCUCCUCAAAGCCUCAAGAUCUCACCAUGUCUGGUCAAACACUGCAUCUUGGCAUGAAGCAUGCUUUGAGGAACCGGAGAAUGGUGGUGUCCACUUCUGGGUGAAGGGCCUAGACACAGGGCAGUAGCUCUGGGGAAUGAAGGAGCAGGGUGGUGGCCAGAAGGGAGGGGUGACAGGGGACAGGAAGGAUAGAUGGGUGGGAUGUGUACCCCCACCUCGGGGUUUCUCAGAAAGACUGUGGCUGGGGCCCCUGGGUGGCUCAGUGGGUUAAAGCUUCUGCCUUCGGCUCAGGUCAUGAUCCCGGGGUCCUGGGAUCGAGCCCCGCAUCGGGCUCUCUGCUCAGCAGGGGACCUUCUUCCUCCUCUCUCUCUCUGCCUGCCUCUCUGCCUACUUGUGAUCUCUGUCUAAUAAAUAAAUAAAAUC